RNAcentral lists this ribosomal RNA (799 nucleotides) under uncultured Ralstonia sp. Its description in RNAcentral is "bacterial SSU rRNA". It matches the Rfam family "Bacterial small subunit ribosomal RNA", at positions 8 to 796 of the family's 1533-position model. Lineage: Bacteria; Pseudomonadati; Pseudomonadota; Betaproteobacteria; Burkholderiales; Burkholderiaceae. The record is from RNAcentral.
AGAGUUUGAUCCUGGCUCAGAUUGAACGCUGGCGGCAUGCCUUACACAUGCAAGUCGAACGGCAGCAUGAUCUAGCUUGCUAGAUUGAUGGCGAGUGGCGAACGGGUGAGUAAUACAUCGGAACGUGCCCUGUAGUGGGGGAUAACUAGUCGAAAGAUUAGCUAAUACCGCAUACGACCUGAGGGUGAAAGUGGGGGACCGCAAGGCCUCAUGCUAUAGGAGCGGCCGAUGUCUGAUUAGCUAGUUGGUGAGGUAAAGGCUCACCAAGGCGACGAUCAGUAGCUGGUCUGAGAGGACGAUCAGCCACACUGGGACUGAGACACGGCCCAGACUCCUACGGGAGGCAGCAGUGGGGAAUUUUGGACAAUGGGGGCAACCCUGAUCCAGCAAUGCCGCGUGUGUGAAGAAGGCCUUCGGGUUGUAAAGCACUUUUGUCCGGAAAGAAAUCGCACUUACUAAUAUUAGGUGUGGAUGACGGUACCGGAAGAAUAAGGACCGGCUAACUACGUGCCAGCAGCCGCGGUAAUACGUAGGGUCCAAGCGUUAAUCGGAAUUACUGGGCGUAAAGCGUGCGCAGGCGGUUGUGCAAGACCGAUGUGAAAUCCCCGGGCUUAACCUGGGAAUUGCAUUGGUGACUGCACGGCUAGAGUGUGUCAGAGGGGGGUAGAAUUCCACGUGUAGCAGUGAAAUGCGUAGAGAUGUGGAGGAAUACCGAUGGCGAAGGCAGCCCCCUGGGAUAACACUGACGCUCAUGCACGAAAGCGUGGGGAGCAAACAGGAUUAGAUACCCCAGUAGUCC